RNAcentral lists this ribosomal RNA (266 nucleotides) under uncultured bacterium. Its description in RNAcentral is "partial 16S ribosomal RNA". It matches the Rfam family "Bacterial small subunit ribosomal RNA", at positions 28 to 295 of the family's 1533-position model. The record is from RNAcentral.
GACGAACGCUGGCGGCGUGCUUAACACAUGCAAGUCGAGCGGUAAGGCCCUUUCGGGGGUACACGAGCGGCGAACGGGUGAGUAACACGUGGGUGACCUGCCCUCAGCUCUGGGAUAAGCCUGGGAAACCGGGUCUAAUACCGGAUAUGACUCCAUGACGCAUGUUGUGGGGUGGAAAGCCUUGUGCGGCUGAGGAUGGGCCCGCGGCCUAUCAGCUUGUUGGUGGGGUNAUGGCCUACCAAGGCGACGACGGGUAGCCGGCCUGA